This is a long non-coding RNA of Lutra lutra (Eurasian river otter), 2576 nucleotides long. RefSeq lists it as uncharacterized. Lineage: Eukaryota; Metazoa; Chordata; Mammalia; Carnivora; Mustelidae. The transcript has 3 exons. The record is from RefSeq and is a predicted model, not a curated record.
CUGAAAGCCAACCCCUUGAACUCCUCCCCACCCUGAGUGCUCGGGGGAGGCAGGAAUGUGUUGCAUUCAUCCCGAUGACCAAUAUCUUAGGCGGUGCCUGGCACACGGUCCUCCCCAAAGGAACGCUGGACUUCACUGGCUAGACUGUGGAUGUGACAGUGCCAUUUCUUCUGAGAAGUCCUAACGGGUCCUGAGAACUGACCCAGCUGCACAUUUAUGUCUGACUAAUUGGGAUCUCAGUGACACCCCACAGGGCAACUGAAAUUCAAUAUUUGACUCUACGGUUCAUCCCUGGUAAGAAGUCUUUGGUAACACCAAGCAAAGUGACUGGGACUUAACCAUAAAGAAGACUGAAGAAUCCUAAAGGGAAGAAUCCUAAAGGGAAGUUCAGAUUGGACUAGGAAGUCUUCCUGGGGAGAGAGGAGUCAGGGAGCAUAUCUCCAGGAUGGCCCACUCAUCCCAUGGUGGGUGUUGAACAACCCAAAGGCCAUUUAAUAGAAAAUGCUUACCCCUGUUAAUUUCAGUAACUUAGCCUUUCAAAUUAGGUUAUAAAGCCCACAGAGUCUUAGGUUUCAUUUGUUUUGUCAUGCAAGCGGGAGAAGAGGAAAUGGGAACAGCUUUGUAUGUGAUUUGAUAGAGAAACCCACAGAAUAGCGUCAAAAUACAGAGGUGUCAGUUUCUAGAUAACAGCCCAUUCUUAAUGGAGAAAUGGGUCAGAAUUACAGGUGUCUUUGGGUUUGUUUUUUGUUUUGAUUUGUCUUUUACAGAACAUGGCAACCACUUCUAUAGCCUUAAGAAUCUUACCAGACCCUAUUUAAAAAGAAAACAAAGAUUUAUUUAUUUCUUUUAGAAAGAGAGAGCGUGUGUGCGCAUGCAUGUGGGGAGGGGCUGAGAGAAGCCUCCAGGAGUCUCCGCCGCACACGACACUGGAGCCCACCACCCACGAGAUGGUGACCUGACCUGAAACCAAGAGUCAGAUGCUUAACCAACAGAGCCACCCAGGCGCCCCCUUACCAGACCAUUUUGUGGAGUGAAUGCUUGCAGGGACAGAUUUAGUCUAACCAAGUCCAGCCGAGAACAGCGACAGAUAUUCACAGGUGUCCACACACUGCCCUGGAGAACAGGAUUUAUAUUCUUGGAGAAAUCUUCGUCCUACCCCCUUAUCAGAUCUGAAUCCUUGAACUGGUUUUCUGAUGGAGAUGCUUCUUCCUCAGCUGCGGAGGGAGAGACCAUCUUUGGUAGUUCUUUCUUGAGAACUUAAGUUCAUGGUGAUGGCUUGCAUUUUGAGGGCAUUAGAAGGAAAUCCCAUCCGUUGGCCUUAGAAGGAAAAAGCAGGCCUGCUGGGCUCAGUCAGUUUUACUAGCAGAAAUGGGAAAAGAAUGAAGAGGAUUGACUUGCUAACUGUGAACUGGGGAGCAGAAAUGGUUUUUGUUUGCGACACGUCCUUUGGAUUCCGUUUCAUGGUGGAAAUUCUGACCUUCUUUAGGUGAGGGGAUUAGGUUUACGACUCUCCGGAGGCUGUGAGUAUGAUACGGGUUGUGUAAAUGAUGGUCUUUUUAGGCGCUAUUUGCCCCUGGGCUUCAGGGAACACAUAUGAAAAGGGACUCCGGAAGGAUACAGUUCAUUUCAAACCUUUAACAAAUCCACAUCACGAGAACCCAAUUAAGAUGACUUGCUAUAAAAAAGGAUUUACCACUUUGCAGCAACCCACCACGUGAUUGCUUUAAAUAGACCGUUCUUCUGCAUUUCGUAUCCUUUUUUUCCCCCCCAAAAUGAAUGUUUUUUUUUUUUUUUUUUUUUUUUUUUUGAGACUGCACUGUGUGCCUAGAUCUGCAGGAAAAGCACACAGGCCAGAUCUCUAAAGCGAACGAUGCCCCCUCAUUCUGUGCCAGUGAGUUUUGGGGUGUCUUGGAGCACCCCCUCCAGGGCCAGGUGAAACAGUCGUGCCACCCAGGAAAGUGGGAAAUGCUGCCGAAGAACAGCACCCACAUCCCAGCGGUCCUGCGGGGGGCUGGCCACCCCUCUCCAGAUGCCGGCAAGAUAACAUGUGCAAGGGCUCACAGACCCCCUGCCGGAAGCCACGCAGCCUGGGGAGCAAAGCUGGGAAGAUGACGUGCCAAUGGCCCAAUGCCGGCAAGGCGCCCAGGGCGAGGGCGGCCAUCGGGACAGCUCUGCGUCACUCUAUUAUAAUAGUUGGUUCUAUUUAAUUCACUUUACUUAAAAUAGGGCCAGUUUUACCCCAAGGCAGAAGACACUGUGGAGGCAGAUCGAGAGUUGAGGUCCAGGAAGCAAAAGUGUCGCCUCCCUUGCCUCUGUCCUGGAGGACUGACAUGGCACCGUGUUACUCUUGUAUUCGCCCUUCCAGAAUCACCAGACUGUUCUCCAGUCUGAAGAAUGCAGAUUCUCCUACAAGGAUGCAGGCAUCACUACUACCUUGAAAGGCUAAAGCCCAAGGCCUCGGAUGAGCCAGAAGGCAUGAAGGGAAAUGAUGAGUGUGUCUGUGACACUGAAGACAGAGUUUUUUUGGGUUUAGCUUUUUAUUUUAGAGAGAGAGAGAGAGAGAGAGAAGGCAUGCA